AGCGAACGCUGGCGGCAGGCUUAACACAUGCAAGUCGAGCGGGCCUUUCGGGGUCAGCGGCGGACGGGUGAGUAACGCGUGGGAACGUGCCCUCUGGUUCGGAAUAACUCAGGGAAACUUGAGCUAAUACCUGAUACGCCCUUUUGGGGAAAGGCUUGCUGCCGGAGGAUCGGCCCGCGUCUGAUUAGCUAGUUGGUGAGGUAACGGCUCACCAAGGCGACGAUCAGUAGCUGGUCUGAGAGGAUGAUCAGCCACACUGGGACUGAGACACGGCCCAGACUCCUACGGGAGGAAGCAGUGGGGAAUAUUGGAAAAUGGGCGCAAGCCUGAUCCAGCCAUGCCGCGUGAGUGAUGAAGGCCUUAGGGUUGUAAAGCUCUUUUAUCCGGGACGAUAAUGACGGUACCGGAGGAAUAAGCCCCGGCUAACUUCGUG
Molecule: ribosomal RNA, 433 nt
Filed under: uncultured bacterium
Lineage: Bacteria
Description: partial 16S ribosomal RNA
Rfam family: Bacterial small subunit ribosomal RNA
Source: RNAcentral